GCGCAACAGUAACCGUUUUGCUGUUGGGUUUCUCUCCCUCGCCUGGGCUGCUGCGGCUGGGUGCGCUGCACAAAGGAGGGAGGCUGCGUGGGGCGCAGGCAGGUGGGGGCGGAAGCGCUGCGGCCGCGUUGCCCUGGCAGCAGGGAGGUCUGCGGGCGGGACGAGCCCCCGCGGUUCCUCCUCCGCCGCUCAUCGCCGCCGCGCUGCUGACCGCGGGGCUCGGGGGCGCUUGUGCGGCUGCUGACGGAGCAAGUGGCCUCGGCGCGGUACCGGCCUCGCUCUCCGCACAGCAGUAGAUAGCGAGGCGUAAGCACUACCCACAUUUCGUACGUCGUUUGGAGGAGGACGAGAAUCAAGCGGCAGGGAAGCGGCCUCGUCCUCAUCACCAUCCCACACCCCACAAAGUUUUGAGCCUCUGGCGGAGAUCGGCAUCGCUGAGCGAGGAAACGGCAGAAGGGUGUUUGGAAUCUGCACCCUUCCUGACUACUGCUCCAGGUUGUCUGUGCCCCAGGUGUUGGAGAACUGCCCUUGGAACAGAGGACUCUCCUGUACCAAGCUCAGCUGCCCAGAGGGGCUGUCAGUUUUUGUGUGAAGCCACCUUCUUUCCCAUAAGCUAGCUGUUGGUUGUGAACAGAGGUGCUAGCUGUCAGCUCCACGUCCACACAGUCAGGUCAGGGUUGUAGCUGGAGCAGACAAAGAUGACAUUCCUAACCUUUGUUGGGAAGAUAGGCGUUGGCCUGGUAUGUGUGGCUGUCUUAUGGGAACACAUAGUACCCUACUACAUCCAGGCAAAUAAAUUAGCCUGUGACUUAGAGCUGAUUAAUGCUACCAUGAACACCAUAGAGGCCCUUAACAAGCAGCUGCAAGCCCUUUCCAAAAUGGCUGAUCAGAACCGCAGGGCACUGAACCUGCUGUUAGAGACUGCAGGCACCAGCCCCCAGCACCCAGCUAGAGAGGACAGGCCAGGUGGUGAGAAACGCAUGUGAAAAACUCCCAGAGUCAGGAAUGAACCUUGGAGCAUGCUAAGCUGGCUUGGAUUUGGUGUUCCUGCCUGGGUCUGAGGUUGAAUGCGAUAGGCACUGGCAGCUGUUGCCAUUGUAGUUGCUGUAGGUCUGGCAAUAGCCUGUGUAAAAUCAGCUCUAAUGGAAACUGUUAGCAUAAAGGUGAUUCAGCUCCCUGGUUAUCAGAGAAUCACAGAAUGGGUUAGGUUGGAAGGGAGCUCAAAGCUCAGCCAGUUCCAACCCCCUGCCAUAGGCAGGGACACCUCCUGCUAGAACAGGUUGCUCAAGGUUUCAUCCUACCUGGCCUUGAACACCUUCAGGGAGGUUGUGGAGCACAGAAGCUCCCUGGGCAGCCUCUACCAGUGUCUCACCACCCUCACUGUAGACAACUUCUCCCUAACAUCUAGUUUAAAUCUCCCCUCUGCCACUUCAAACCCAUUCCUCCUCCUCCUGUCAUUCCCACACCUUGUCAAUAGUCCCUCCCCAGCCUUCCUGCAGCCACCUUCACAUCCUGCAAGGCCACUCCAAGGUCUCCUCCAAGCCUUCUCUUCUCCAGGCUGCACAGCCCCAACUCUCUCAGCCUGUGCUCAGAGCAGAGCUGCUGCAGCCCUCUCAGCAUCUUGGUGGCCUCCUCUGCACUGGCUCCAACACUUCCAUGUGCUGCUUGUGCUGGGGGCUCCAGAACUGCACCCAGGACUGCAGAUGGGAGUUAGACCCCUUUAGAGGAGGAGGAUAGCCCAACCAAUGUACCUUGUACUGAGACCUUAAUUUGAGAUCAAAUUUAAAUCCCUGAGAGUACUGAGGUGUUCAAGGCCAGGCUGGAUGAGGCCCUGAGCAACCUGUUCUAGUGGGAGGUGUCCCUGCCUAUGGCAGGGGGUUGGAACUGGAUGAGCUUUGAGCUCCCUUCCAACCUAACCAGUUCUAUGAUUCUAUGAUCCUAUGACUGUGGUGAGGCCAUUUGCAAUGGGUUUCUAGCUCAAAAAUUUGCAAGCAGAAGAGUGUUGGAGUCUCUGAUUGGAGAGGUGAAGGUUCCAGGGACAGGCCAUAGCAUGGCAAUGAUGGAUAAGUUAAUGCAAUUUCACUGGAGCAUCAAAAGCUUCAUGUCUGGAAGCCCAGUUUGCAUUUUCCCCUUGCUGCUAUCUUCCCCCUGCAGCUGUUCUGGCUGCUGCUUUGCCACUGCUUGACCCCAUCCCCAGCUCCUUUAAGGUUAUUCUCUUCUGUACAAGUUUGUUCUUACACAUAAAAAAAUACAAUUUCCUUUUCAGCUUUCCAAAA
Molecule: long non-coding RNA, 2276 nt
Organism: Pogoniulus pusillus (Red-fronted tinkerbird)
Lineage: Eukaryota; Metazoa; Chordata; Aves; Piciformes; Lybiidae
Exons: 3
Source: RefSeq, a predicted model, not a curated record